Molecule: non-coding RNA, 144 nt
Organism: Gossypium raimondii (Peruvian cotton)
Lineage: Eukaryota; Viridiplantae; Streptophyta; Magnoliopsida; Malvales; Malvaceae
Source: Rfam
UGUUAAAAAGUUAAUCCAUUUAUACUGUUAAAAACUAUGUAGCUGAUAGAAUAACCAGACAAUAACACGUGGCAUGACAGGUGUAGCUCAUGUUGACAUACAGAGACCGAUUUUUAACAGUAGAAAUGGAUGAAACUUUUAAUA